RNAcentral lists this ribosomal RNA (501 nucleotides) under uncultured bacterium. Its description in RNAcentral is "partial 16S ribosomal RNA". It matches the Rfam family "Bacterial small subunit ribosomal RNA", at positions 30 to 523 of the family's 1533-position model. The record is from RNAcentral.
AUUGAACGCUGGCGGCAGGCUUAAUACAUGCAAGUCGAGCGGGGGAAGGUAGCUUGCUACCGGACCUAGCGGCGGACGGGUGAGUAAUGCUUAGGAAGCUGCCUAUUAGUGGGGGACAACAUCUCGAAAGGGAUGCUAAUACCGCAUACGUCCUACGGGAGAAAGCAGGGGAUCUCCGGACCUUGCGCUACUAGAUGAGCCUAAGUCGGAUUAGCUAGUUGGUGGGGUAAAGGCCUACCAAGGCGACGAUCUGUAGCGGGUCUGAGAGGAUGAUCCGCCACACUGGGACUGAGACACGGCCCAGACUCCUACGGGAGGCAGCAGUGGGGAAUAUUGGACAAUGGGGGGAACCCUGAUCCAGCCAUGCCGCGUGUGUGAAGAAGGCCUUAUGGUUGUAAAGCACUUUAAGCGGGGAGGAGGCUACUUUAGUUAAUACCUAGAGAUAGUGGACGUUACUCGCAGAAUAAGCACCGGCUAACUCUGUGCCAGCAGCCGCCGUAA